This 252-nucleotide ribosomal RNA is filed under the name uncultured bacterium. Its description in RNAcentral is "partial 16S ribosomal RNA". It matches the Rfam family "Bacterial small subunit ribosomal RNA", at positions 524 to 776 of the family's 1533-position model. The record is from RNAcentral.
UACGUAGGUCCCGAGCGUUGUCCAGAUUUAUUGGGCGUAAAGCGAGCGCAGGUGGUUUAUUAAGUCUGGUGUAAAAGGCAGUGGCUUAACCAUUGUAUGCAUUGGAAACUGGUAGACUUGAGUGCAGGAGAGGAGAGUGGAAUUCCAUGUGUAGCGGUGAAAUGCGUAGAUAUAUGGAGGAACACCGGUGGCGAAAGCGGCUCUCUGGCCUGUAACUGACACUGAGGCUCGAAAGCGUGGGGAGCAAACAGG